Molecule: long non-coding RNA, 404 nt
Organism: Octopus sinensis (East Asian common octopus)
Lineage: Eukaryota; Metazoa; Mollusca; Cephalopoda; Octopoda; Octopodidae
Exons: 3
Source: RefSeq, a predicted model, not a curated record
GAAGGAAAGAAAGAGGAAGAAAGGAAAAAACAUCAAUGCAACACCAAGUGCUUCAAUUGGUCGCUCACCACAAGGUUCAACGGGACCUACUGAAGCAAGCCAACACGCUCGUGGCAUUACCAUGGGCGAUGACGAUGCUAAGGCGGUUGAACAGCCAAGCACACUCGCGGGUACCACUUGAUACCUUGGUAAGGCGAGCUGUAAACGAUGACAAGAAUUUCGUUAUUAGCGGCCCAGCUCCUCUAACGUCUAAAACGUCACAGGCUGGAAGAAAUGGUUCACUGACAAGUCCCGGUACUUAAGAAUUUCGUUCCGUUCGGCUAUGGAAACAGUGACUCUCCCAUUUUGCGUAGCAUCCAUAAUGUGUGAGGAAGCAAAGGAGUCGCAGACUAUGACGUCUCAGA